This 253-nucleotide ribosomal RNA is filed under the name uncultured bacterium. RNAcentral's name for it is "partial 16S ribosomal RNA". It matches the Rfam family "Bacterial small subunit ribosomal RNA", at positions 524 to 776 of the family's 1533-position model. The record is from RNAcentral.
GACGGAGGGUGCAAGCGUUGCUCGGAAUCACUGGGCGUAAAGGGUGCGUAGGCGGGUUUUUAAGUCCGGGGUGAAAUCCUGGAGCUCAACUCCAGAGCUGCCUUUGAUACUGAAGAUCUUGAGUUCGGGAGAGGUGAGUGGAACUGCGAGUGUAGAGGUGAAAUUCGUAGAUAUUCGCAAGAACACCAGUGGCGAAGGCGGCUCACUGGCCCGAUACUGACGCUGAGGCACGAAAGCGUGGGGAGCAAACAGG